RNAcentral lists this non-coding RNA (129 nucleotides) under Mycobacterium terrae. The record is from RNAcentral. Lineage: Bacteria; Bacillati; Actinomycetota; Actinomycetes; Mycobacteriales; Mycobacteriaceae.
CUGCGCUAGGCUGGCCGCCGUCUCGUGGCGUCAGGAACCCGGUGGAAUUCCGGGGCGGUUCCGCCACUGUGAGCGGCGCGGUUCGUCGUGCGCCGACAGCCAGAUACUGGCCGCGGGGCACCCGACCGG